UGGAUGAGGAUAGCAAAGAGGAGUAUGAUACAAGAAUGUAUCACUUUGGCGAGCAAGUAGCACCAGCGAGGGAGAGUAAGAGCUUGAGUGAAGCUCACAAAAAUGCAAGCCUGCUGAAGAAGUGGAACAAGAAGCAGGAUAAGAUCAUCGCUAAGUCCCUGAAGACUAUCAAGUCUCUGAAGGUUAUGAUAAGUUGCUCCUCUUCCAGCACGGCUAUGCCA
MicroRNA precursor from Arabidopsis lyrata subsp. lyrata, 221 nucleotides. It matches the Rfam family "MIR854 microRNA precursor family". Lineage: Eukaryota; Viridiplantae; Streptophyta; Magnoliopsida; Brassicales; Brassicaceae. The record is from Rfam.